AUUGAACGCUGGCGGUAGGCCUAACACAUGCAAGUCGAACGCGAAAGUCCUUCGGGAUGAGUAGAGUGGCGGACGGGUGAGUAACGCGUAGGAAUCUAUCCUGUAGUGGGGGAUAACGUUUCGAAAGGAACGCUAAUACCGCAUACGCCCUAAGGGGGAAAGGCGGGGGAGUCUUCGGACCUCGUGCUAUAGGAGGAGCCUGCGUCGGAUUAGCUAGUUGGUGAGGUAAAGGCUCACCAAGGCGACGAUCCGUAGCUGGUCUGAGAGGAUGAUCAGCCACACCGGAACUGAGACACGGUCCGGACUCCUACGGGAGGCAGCAGUGGGGGAAUAUUGCGCAAUGGGCGAAAGCCUGACGCAGCCAUACCGCGUGUGUGAAG
RNAcentral lists this ribosomal RNA (380 nucleotides) under uncultured bacterium. Its description in RNAcentral is "bacterial SSU rRNA". It matches the Rfam family "Bacterial small subunit ribosomal RNA", at positions 30 to 410 of the family's 1533-position model. The record is from RNAcentral.